RNAcentral lists this ribosomal RNA (328 nucleotides) under uncultured eukaryote. RNAcentral's name for it is "partial 18S ribosomal RNA". It matches the Rfam family "Eukaryotic small subunit ribosomal RNA", at positions 1470 to 1796 of the family's 1831-position model. The record is from RNAcentral.
CCCUUAGAUGUUCUGGGCCGCACGCGCGCUACACUGAUGCAUUCAACGAGCCUAUCCUUGACCGACAGGUCCGGGUAAUCUUUGAAUCUGCAUCGUGACGGGGAUAGAUUAUUGCAAUUAUUAAUCUUCAACGAGGAAUGCCUAGUAGGCGCAAGUCAUCAGCUUGCGUUGAUUACGUCCCUGCCCUUUGUACACACCGCCCGUCGCUACUACCGAUUGAAUGGUUUAGUGAGAUCUCCGGAUUGGCUCUGUAGGUCCCGCAAGGGAUUUAUUAGUAGCCAAGAAGCUGCUCAAACUUGAUCAUUUAGAGGAAGUAAAAGUCGUAACA